GUUUGCUCCAGGGUAUGUAGACUUCCCAGC
RNAcentral lists this non-coding RNA (30 nucleotides) under Cricetulus griseus (Chinese hamster). The record is from RNAcentral. Lineage: Eukaryota; Metazoa; Chordata; Mammalia; Rodentia; Cricetidae.